AGUGAACGCUGGCGGUAGGCCUGACACAUGCAAGUCGAACGGCAGCACAGUAAGAGCUUGCUCUUACGGGUGGCGAGUGGCGGACGGGUGAGGAAUACAUCGGAAUCUACUUUUUCGUGGGGGAUAACGUAGGGAAACUUACGCUAAUACCGCAUACGACCUACGGGUGAAAGCAGGGGAUCUUCGGACCUUGCGCGAUUGAAUGAGCCGAUGUCGGAUUAGCUAGUUGGCGGGGUAAAGGCCCACCAAGGCGACGAUCCGUAGCUGGUCUGAGAGGAUGAUCAGCCACACUGGAACUGAGACACGGUCCAGACUCCUACGGGAGGCAGCAGUGGGGAAUAUUGGACAAUGGGCGCAAGCCUGAUCCAGCCAUACCGCGUGGGUGAAGAAGGCCUUCGGGUUGUAAAGCCCUUUUGUUGGGAAAGAAAAGCAGCAGGUUAAUACCCCGCUGUUCUGACAGUACCCAAAGAAUAAGCACCGGCUAACUUCGUG
This 492-nucleotide ribosomal RNA is filed under the name uncultured bacterium. RNAcentral describes it as "partial 16S ribosomal RNA". It matches the Rfam family "Bacterial small subunit ribosomal RNA", at positions 29 to 507 of the family's 1533-position model. The record is from RNAcentral.